GUGGGGAAUCUUAGACAAUGGGGGAAACCCUGAUCUAGCCAUGCCGCGUGAGCGAUGAAGGCCUUAGGGUUGUAAAGCUCUUUCAGCUGGGAAGAUAAUGACUGUACCAGCAGAAGAAGCCCCGGCUAACUCCGUGCCAGCAGCCGCGGUAAUACGGAGGGGGCUAGCGUUGUUCGGAAUUACUGGGCGUAAAGCGCACGUAGGCGGACCGGAAAGUCAGAGGUGAAAUCCCAGGGCUCAACCUUGGAACUGCCUUUGAAACUCCUGGUCUUGAGGUCGAGAGAGGUGAGUGGAAUUCCGAGUGUAGAGGUGAAAUUCGUAGAUAUUCGGAGGAACACCAGUGGCGAAGGCGGCUCACUGACUCGAUACUGACGCUGAGGUGCGAAAGCGUGGGGAGCAAACAGGAUUAGAAACCCUGGUAGUCC
This 425-nucleotide ribosomal RNA is filed under the name uncultured bacterium. RNAcentral's name for it is "partial 16S ribosomal RNA". It matches the Rfam family "Bacterial small subunit ribosomal RNA", at positions 354 to 796 of the family's 1533-position model. The record is from RNAcentral.